This 482-nucleotide ribosomal RNA is filed under the name uncultured bacterium. RNAcentral describes it as "bacterial SSU rRNA". It matches the Rfam family "Bacterial small subunit ribosomal RNA", at positions 28 to 505 of the family's 1533-position model. The record is from RNAcentral.
GAUGAACGCUAGCGGCAGGCUUAACACAUGCAAGUCGAGGGGCAUCGAGAGUAGCAAUACUUGUCGGCGACCGGCGCAAGGGUGCGUAACACGUGAGCAACAUACCCGUUUCAGGAGGAUAACCGGAGGAAACUCUGCCUAAUACUCCAUGACAUCAUCAAACGGCAUCGUUUGAUGAUUAAAGAUUUAUCGGAAACGGCUUGGCUCGCGGGACAUUAGCUCGUUGGUGAGGUAACGGCUCACCAAGGCGACGAUGUCUAGGGGUUCUGAGAGGAAGGUCCCCCACACUGGAACUGAGACACGGUCCAGACUCCUACGGGAGGCAGCAGUGAGGAAUAUUGGACAAUGGUCGGAAGACUGAUCCAGCCAUGCCGCGUGAAGGUUACUGUCCUAUGGAUAUUAAACUUCUUUUGUAUGAGAGCAAUAAGGUGCACGUGUGCACCGAUGAGAGUAUCAUACGAAUAAGCACGUCGACUACGUCG